GUGUCACGCCCACUUUGGCAGCACAUGUACUAAAACUGGAACGAUACAGAGAAUAUUAGCAUGGCCCCUGCAUGUAGAUGACACGCAAAUUCCUGAAGUGUUCCAGUAGAAC
Small nuclear RNA from Cebus imitator (Panamanian white-faced capuchin), 112 nucleotides. The record is from Ensembl. Lineage: Eukaryota; Metazoa; Chordata; Mammalia; Primates; Cebidae.